Molecule: long non-coding RNA, 1224 nt
Filed under: Bos grunniens (domestic yak)
Lineage: Eukaryota; Metazoa; Chordata; Mammalia; Artiodactyla; Bovidae
Description: lncRNA (ENSBGRG00000015717.1)
Source: RNAcentral
AUGGGUCUCCUGAACUCCGGACCCCAGGCUGGAGGGUCUGAGGGAACAAUACCUGGGCUCCUGGGGUGGGGGAUCCGGAUCGCCUCCAGGGGAGGGGGCGUUCUGGACUUACGCCCCCGCCCCCAGCCGAAGGGUGCCCCCCUCCCCUACCUCCCUAUUGACGGCGCCCAGCUUGGGCUGGGCCCUCCCCCGGGCCGCAGCGGCGGAACCGGCGCGCUAGGCCCGCAGGUCGCGAGGCCCCCUCCCAUCGCGCCUCAGGCUCUGCUCUCCCCGGGCGGGCGGGCGCGCGGGGCGGCGGCGUGGGGUAGGACAGAGGUCGCCCUGGGCCGCGCCCCGCGCUGGGGGCCCCCCGCGCCCGCCCCCCUCAUCGCAGCCCCCGCCCGCCCGGCCCGCUCGCGGGGACACUCACCCGGCGCCCUCUCCCUGCCCGGCCCGCCGCGCCCGCCGGCGCCCCGGGGCCCGCAGGAAGCCCCCGCCCGCCAGCCCCGCCGGCGGCCCCCUCGGCCCUGCGGCCCCGCCAGGCGCUCCCGGGGAGCGAGAGGGGCCGGCCGAGGGCCGCAGCGGGGGCUGCUGGGACUUGUAGUUCGCCUGCGCCCGCCUCGGCCGUCGCCAUCGCUGCCCCCGCCCCCCGGGCGAGCCUUUGUCCCGGCCGGGCCACCCGGCCGCGCGGCCGCGCCUUUGUCUGCGCCGGGCUCCGCCCGCGCUGUCCCCGCCGCUGCCUCUCCUCUUCUGCUUCUCUCCCAGCCGCUCUUGAUCCCUCUCCGCCCCUGUCUCUCUCUCUCUGUCCCUUCUCUGUUCCUCCGUCCCUUUAUUUCCAUGUCUUGGCCUCUCUUGUCACUUUCUCUGCCUCCAUCCCUCUGUCUCUGCAUCCUCCUCCUCUCUCUCCCUGUCUCUGCCUCCAGCCCGUGUCUCCGACUCUGUCUCUCUUUCUCUCUCUCGUUUCCAGGAACACCGAACAGUCUCUGUCUCUUGCAGACGGGAAACACUCAUCAGCAUAGUUCAGACGCUGAGAAUUUACAAACUUGUGGUAUCUUUGCUCAGUCCAGCGUUUUCCCUUUAAGACUCCUCCUCCGAGGAAAAGAGCUGGGGAUACUCCUCCUCUUUCUCCUCCCAGGGUCAUGCAGGGCUGUCACUGGUGGGCUCCCCGUGCCUGUUCCUCCUUUUAUAAGCCAGGUCUGGGAAGCAGUCUGGGCAUACUUUACCUGGAGAUGGAGAUCCCUGUGA